This 186-nucleotide long non-coding RNA is filed under the name Phasianus colchicus (ring-necked pheasant). RNAcentral describes it as "lncRNA (ENSPCLG00000010847.1)". Lineage: Eukaryota; Metazoa; Chordata; Aves; Galliformes; Phasianidae. The record is from RNAcentral.
AAUCAGAGUUUGCUUUGAAAAUGCCUGAUGAGUAAAAGGAUGCUGAGUGCGGUCAAUUUUCCUCUCGCCUUCUCUGCCACUAACUCAGACGUGACUUCUGGCACUGCUUUAAGCAGUUGUAGCAGGAUGGCUGAUCUCUUUGCCCAAAUUCACAUACAAAUCGAGAAAGACAAACACUGGAUCUGA